RNAcentral lists this ribosomal RNA (697 nucleotides) under Chlamydia muridarum. RNAcentral describes it as "bacterial SSU rRNA". It matches the Rfam family "Bacterial small subunit ribosomal RNA", at positions 202 to 887 of the family's 1533-position model. Lineage: Bacteria; Pseudomonadati; Chlamydiota; Chlamydiia; Chlamydiales; Chlamydiaceae. The record is from RNAcentral.
GGGAUCUUCGGACCUUUCGGUUAAGGGAGAGUCUAUGUGAUAUCAGCUAGUUGGUGGGGUAAAGGCCUACCAAGGCUAUGACGUCUAGGCGGAUUGAGAGAUUGGCCGCCAACACUGGGACUGAGACACUGCCCAGACUCCUACGGGAGGCUGCAGUCGAGAAUCUUUCGCAAUGGACGGAAGUCUGACGAAGCGACGCCGCGUGUGUGAUGAAGGCUCUAGGGUUGUAAAGCACUUUCGCUUGGGAAUAAGAGAAGACGGUUAAUACCCGUUGGAUUUGAGCGUACCAGGUAAAGAAGCACCGGCUAACUCCGUGCCAGCAGCUGCGGUAAUACGGAGGGUGCUAGCGUUAAUCGGAUUUAUUGGGCGUAAAGGGCGUGUAGGCGGAAAGGUAAGUUAGUUGUCAAAUCUCGGGGCUCAACCCCGAAUCGGCAUCUAAAACUAUUUUUCUAGAGGGUAGAUGGAGAAAAGGGAAUUUCACGUGUAGCGGUGAAAUGCGUAGAUAUGUGGAAGAACACCAGUGGCGAAGGCGCUUUUCUAAUUUAUACCUGACGCUAAGGCGCGAAAGCAAGGGGAGCAAACAGGAUUAGAUACCCUGGUAGUCCUUGCCGUAAACGAUGCAUACUUGAUGUGGAUGGUCUCAACCCCAUCCGUGUCGGAGCUAACGCGUUAAGUAUGCCGCCUGAGGAGUACACUC